This 80-nucleotide transfer RNA is filed under the name Thermodesulfobacteriota bacterium. RNAcentral describes it as "Thermodesulfobacteria bacterium tRNA-Met". The record is from RNAcentral. Lineage: Bacteria; Pseudomonadati; Thermodesulfobacteriota.
GGUAGGGUAAAUGCUGGUAUAUAAGGGCCUUAGUGCUCAUAACCCGAAGGUCACAGGUUCAAAUCCUGUCCCCGCUACCA